Molecule: ribosomal RNA, 504 nt
Filed under: uncultured bacterium
Lineage: Bacteria
Description: partial 16S ribosomal RNA
Rfam family: Bacterial small subunit ribosomal RNA
Source: RNAcentral
AUUGAACGCUGGCGGCAGGCCUAACACAUGCAAGUCGAACGGUAGCACAGAGAGCUUGCUCUUGGGUGACGAGUGGCGGACGGGUGAGUAAUGUCUGGGAAACUGCCCGAUGGAGGGGGAUAACUACUGGAAACGGUAGCUAAUACCGCAUAACGUCUUCGGGCCAAAGUGGGGGACCUUCGGGCCUCACACCAUCGGAUGUGCCCAGAUGGGAUUAGCUAGUAGGUGGGGUAACGGCUCACCUAAGCGACGAUCCCUAGCUGGUCUGAGAGGAUGACCAGCCACACUGGAACUGAGACACGGUCCAGACUCCUACGGGAGGCAGCAGUGGGGAAUAUUGCACAAUGGGCGCAAGCCUGAUGCAGCCAUGCCGCGUGUAUGAAGAAGGCCUUCGGGUUGUAAAGUACUUUCAGUGGGGAGGAAGGCGAUGGAGUUAAUAGCUUCGUCGAUUGACGUUACCCGCAGAAGAAGCACCGGCUAACUCCGUGCCAGCAGCCGCAGUAA